RNAcentral lists this small nucleolar RNA (96 nucleotides) under Mustela putorius furo (domestic ferret). RNAcentral describes it as "Small nucleolar RNA SNORA70 (ENSMPUG00000022120.1)". It matches the Rfam family "Small nucleolar RNA SNORA70". Rfam says of the family: snoRNA U70 seems to be exclusive to mammals and is a member of the H/ACA class of snoRNA which contain H (ANANNA) and ACA box motifs. The record is from RNAcentral. Lineage: Eukaryota; Metazoa; Chordata; Mammalia; Carnivora; Mustelidae.
AGGAAAACCAUGCCAUGGUUGCAAACAGUAGCCUCGUUGGUACUGUAUGCAGCCUGUUGAUUGUAUGGGUUGCCCUAAGGGACCUUGGAGACAGCC